Molecule: long non-coding RNA, 853 nt
Filed under: Heterocephalus glaber (naked mole-rat)
Lineage: Eukaryota; Metazoa; Chordata; Mammalia; Rodentia; Bathyergidae
Description: lncRNA (ENSHGLG00100037911.1)
Source: RNAcentral
CCCUCCCUUUCUCCUCCGGGGCUUUGGAGUCGCCUCGCAGCAGCGAGCUGCGAGCGCCCUGCUCCAGUCCGGGCUUGGAACUGAACUGUGCGAGCGCAGGUCCUGGAACCCGGGCCCAGGCGCGGCCAGCCAGGUCUGAGGCCAGGGCGCCGCGCUCAGCCUCGGAGGCCCCGAUCGGGACGGAGCGGAGCGCGGAGCCGCAGAGCCGGCCAGCCGGGCGGGCGCAGCGUCCGGGCGAGUCCGGGCGCCGGACCGCGGAAGCCAGGAGACGGCCGCGAGCCCGGGGCAGAGGGCAGAGGGCAGCGAGCGGCCUGGCGUGGCGGAGGGCGCCGCCCGGCCGAAACCGAGAUCGCCGCCCGGGACGCCGGCCCUCGCGGGUGCGGGGGUGACCAGUCCCGGGAGACGGCGGGGGCGCGCCCCCUCCCAGCCCGCCGACCCGCGCCGCCCGCCCGUCUCCGGGGCAUGUGAGCGGGAAGCCGAGUGCCAGCCGCGAGGACCGCCCCGGGAGCAGCAGGAGCGCGGAGCCGCGAGCCCGGACCCAGCGCCCCGCAGAGUACAGCAGCACCAGCAGCAGCAGCAGCAGCGAUGUGGUAGUUUCUCCUGAGAAGACCCGUUUAUGUCCCAGGGCCCUGGUUGGAGGAGGCACUGGACACCCCAUCCAAAGCCUUAGAGCGGUGAAGCCCUUUCCAGCCCCCCUAGAGACAGGGCUCUGCUCCCACCCCUUGUGUCCACAGCUCAGAGCCUUGAAACUACCUCUUGCUACUCUGGCCAUAUUCUUGGCCAGGGCUUGGCAGGAGGCCCUUUCUACUUUUAGAAGACCGGCUCUGCUUCCAUGGCCUCAAGGCCCAUACGG